GAGAGCAGAGAUUCCUAAGCAAGCUGGUGACUGUUUGAGACUCCUACAGAGCGCAGUGAAUCUGUACAGGAAAGCAGUGAGUGAGCAGUGAUUCCAAUAGAUCAGUCUCUGAAAGGAAGUAGAAUUUUCACAUGGAGUCCAACGGUACCCCCAGCGUGCAAUACGACCGCUGGAAUGAGGAAAAUAUCAAUAUGAACGUGGAGGCUUCACAGCCUGUUCUGAGAAGGAUCUACAACAGAAUGUGCACCGGCAACAUUGGAAUAGCAGUGAAGGUUACAGGAGCUGUAGCUGCACUGGUGACUGUUUACAUUAUAGGAUAUGUGACUGGAUACCACAUUCAUCGCUGCCCGUAGAAUGAAGGAACCCAUCACAAGAUAAAAGUGCAUGGACAAACCAUGAAUUUAUAAAAUGCUACGUUAAGUGAAAAAUUCUGUGUUGAACAGAAUUCAAAUCAACUCAUAUUUCAAUUUUUAUGGAAAAAAACACAAAUCUGUGGCUUUAUGUGAGAUUCAGUGCCUCUGAUAAAUCUCAUAUCCACCUUCUUAAUAAAAAGAAGCUGAAAGCUGUAUUGCAGUCCUGAUGGAUAGCUGUUGCUACUGUAAAACUAUAGCAUUACUGGGCACUCAGCUGUACUUUAAAAUGCACUUGUAUCUGAAUGUUUCUUGCCAAACAGAGGAAAUUCAUUAUUAACUGACAUCAAGCACUGACAGCAUUUUCUUAACUCAGACAGCCUUUUCCUUUUUUGCUGUACACUGAUUUCAUUAUGCUUUUCAGCCCGUAAUUAGUUUUCCAGCAUUAUGUAGCAAAGACAUACUGAUUUGUACAUUCAACAAUAUUUGCAGCACCUAGAUGAGUGUUCCACUUUUCAGAAAUGCAUCUAAACACAAUCACCAGUUAAACUGUGCAGGAUUGGCUGAUUACACAGCAUCUUAAAAAGGAGUGACUGCAGCAGCUGACCUGUUAUAGUUUGUGAAUAACCGCCCACGAACAUUCACCAACAACCACACAGGAGGUUAAUUUCCCAGUUGUUAGCGCAUUACAAUUAUCUUGCGCAGAAAAAGCAGCAAUGAUGAAUUGUGCUUAUUAUGGAGACUUUUAAGAAUCAUGUAGCACAUAAAAUUCUGCUAUUAAAAAGAGAAAUUAAGUUAAUCAAGACUAACUGUAGCAUUCCUGACUGAUGCUUAGGUUAGAAAUACAACAUGAUAUAAUGUAGUAUUUCUGAAUGAAUCUGAAUAAUGCCUAGCUAAACACAGUUUGCUGGACAUUUUACUGCAGCUCCUUUGUAAUCAUUCCUUCUUCUAAUGCUCUGCUUUAAGAACUCACUUUUUUUGUUUCAAAUAAAUCCAACUUUUACUUUCA
Molecule: long non-coding RNA, 1359 nt
Organism: Oreochromis niloticus (Nile tilapia)
Lineage: Eukaryota; Metazoa; Chordata; Actinopteri; Cichliformes; Cichlidae
Exons: 3
Source: RefSeq, a predicted model, not a curated record